CGGCCACAUAACGUUGCAACACCGGUUCCUGUAUGAUCACCGAAGUUAAGCAAUAUCGAGCUUGGCCAGUUCCUAGAUAGGUGACUACUUGGGAAUAGUAGAUGCUGUAA
Acanthosepion pharaonis is the source of this 110-nucleotide non-coding RNA. Lineage: Eukaryota; Metazoa; Mollusca; Cephalopoda; Sepiida; Sepiidae. The record is from the annotation of a GenBank genome assembly.